AAGGCUUUAGCUUAAUUAAAGUGUCUGUUUUGCAUACAGAAGAUGUGGAUUAAUGUUCUGCAAGUCUUA
This 69-nucleotide transfer RNA is filed under the name Cynoglossus sinicus. Its description in RNAcentral is "tRNA-Ala". It matches the Rfam family "tRNA". Rfam says of the family: Transfer RNA (tRNA) molecules are approximately 80 nucleotides in length. Their secondary structure includes four short double-helical elements and three loops (D, anti-codon, and T loops). Lineage: Eukaryota; Metazoa; Chordata; Actinopteri; Pleuronectiformes; Cynoglossidae. The record is from RNAcentral.